CUCGUCUGUCGUUGGAAGAUAAAAAGGAGAGGAGGUGUUUGUUCAUCGACAUCGACAUCGACAUCGACCACGAUAUAAUAACAAAUCAUAGAAAAGCUAUUCCAUUAAAUUGUUCCUAUCAAUUAUUUGCACGCACACGCCUCCCGAUCCCAGCCAAUUUCCGGAACCACGCCCAACGCACCGUCCCUUUCUUUCCUCUCUCUCUCUCUCUCUCGAUUUCGUGACGAAGAAUUCUCCCCUGCGAUUGAUCCCUGGAUCGAUGGAGUCCAAACUCGAUCAUUCCACCUGAGUCGGCGGUAUUCCAACCCCACGAUGGCCAAGAAUUCUUUCAAGUUGGAGCAUCCUCUUGGUUUGCGCCUCCAAUCCCUCUCCUCUCUCUCAACAAGUCAUCUUUUUCCUGUUAUGAUUUGGUUUCUGAACGAAUUCUGUUUUCUGUGGCAACUCUGCUUCUAGGAUUUCCUUUUUUGUUUUACUUUCUCUUUUGCUUCUUGUAUUUCUGUGGUCUCGGUUUGGUUCUUCCUCUUGUGGAAUAAUCUUUUAUGAUAUUUUUCAAUGGCAAUUGUUUGGUUUUCUUUUUUUUCUUUCUUUCUUUUUUUUUUUUGGUUUUUGGGGAGGAGAGGAAAUUGAAUAUAAAAAACAACAGGAAUUUCAAAAUUGCAUGAAAUUUAUAUUGAUGAUCCUUCUCUACAUCGAUAUGGAUCAGUUUAGAAUUAUGGUAAUUAUUCUUUUCUUGUUUGUUUUGCUCCAAGUGGACAAACAUGUAGCUGAUGAUUUAUUUACUACCUUCUUCUUUAUCAUUGUUUGAUUUUCUGCAUUUAAUUGCUGGCCAUUUUUGUUAUGCAGUUAGAUAGAUAUAUAUUUUUUGAGAAAUGCUGAACUCGGUGUGCAUCCAUUUUUUCUUGUUUGAGCAUGUAUGAUUUAUGUGUAUGUUUAAGUUCUUUGUGUUAUACAGUUAGAUGUGGCAUGAGCCACUGAACUUAGCGUGCAUCUUUCUUUCUUUUGUAAGGAUGGAUGAUUUAUGUGUACGUUAAGUUUUAUAUAUAAAUAUAUAUAUAUAUAUAUAUACAUAUAUAUAUAUAUAUAUAUAUAUAUAUAUAUAUAAAGGAUUCCAUAUACACAGAGUCUGUAAGUAUUCUUACUGCGUGGAUCGAUAUAGAAAUGUCAUAUUCACAGGAACACCUUAGAGAAUGAGCCUUGUGUUCGAGGAUAAGACAGUACCAUGACAUGACUCUACGGGUCGCAGGUGUUUUCGAACACCUUCGGAAGAGGAUUAAGCUGGGUGCAGACAGAGAAGGCCAUCUUCGUUUUUGUCAAGAACACAUUGUCACCUACAGCUGCAUUGAUGUCUGCCAUCUACGAGGAACACAAAGACGAAGAUGGUUUUCUUUCUUUACAUGACCUCUACAGCGGCGAGAGAACACAUUUGGCUCCUCCUAAGAUGCAGGAGCCAUCCUUGUAGAUAAAAAUCAUGGAAAGUUUAGCAUCCUUGUAGAUAAAAUUCAUGGGGAAUAUUAUCGAAUUUCAUGGCCAUACCA
Musa acuminata AAA Group (dessert banana) is the source of this 1535-nucleotide long non-coding RNA. RefSeq lists it as uncharacterized. The record is from RefSeq and is a predicted model, not a curated record. The transcript has 4 exons. Lineage: Eukaryota; Viridiplantae; Streptophyta; Magnoliopsida; Zingiberales; Musaceae.